UCUAAGGGUCCGAAUGGUAACCG
RNAcentral lists this non-coding RNA (23 nucleotides) under Arabidopsis thaliana (thale cress). Lineage: Eukaryota; Viridiplantae; Streptophyta; Magnoliopsida; Brassicales; Brassicaceae. The record is from RNAcentral.